CACCCUAAAGAGUUCAUCUUCUGCAGAGGUGGUGGGGAACAGAGGAGGCCAAGAAGCAGCAGAAGGUGACUGGGAGCUAGAAGGAGCUGGAGGGGCAGCCAGGGAAGAAUUGGCUGUCAGUCAAGGCCAGGUUCUUCCAGCAUCAAGAUGGCACAUCUGGAGUUUCAGCACCUCUCCAAAAGUGGUAUGACAUCUGAAUUGACCUGUUAGUUAUGAAUAGGCUUUCUACAGUGUUUUGAUGAAAGAAGUUGUGACCCUGGAGAAGGAAGAAGCCAUUUUUGUAAACAGAUUCCUGGUUUUCAUCUUCUCCCCUUUGGUCUUCAUGGGUCUGCUGCUUUUCUCUCUGAGCGGUCUUCCCUCCUUGGGUCUGGGGGACUCUGGCCUCACUGGAAGUUGGCAGAACCUUGUCCAGAACUCUGUGGUGAGUUUGUUCUUCUACUGACCUUUUCUGCCAGUUCCGCUGCUCUCCAGUUGCCUCUAUUAGAGGGAGCCAAGCAUUUAUUUGUCCAUCAAGCAUUUUAUUUUUGUAGUUCCUGAAUCUUCCAGUUCAGUGCAUGCAUUCCAGGCCAGAGGCUGCCUAAAUUACUUUUGCACAAACACUGUCCUCCACACUCUCCUUCCUGGCUGUGAACUGAAAGACUGUUUGUUGGGAGUGGGCAUGUCUAGGAACAGAACUCAGAGGGGAAAACUUGCGAUUUGGGUCAACCACGUGCCAGCCUUACCUAGUUUGUGUGCUUCGAUGUGCAAAGACCUCCUCAGGUCAGAAAGAAUUCGUCUCCUCAUUGCAAAUUAAAGUGAAUACAGAGAAACACUUUUGCUUAGAAGGGUUACUGGUUUCUGGGGCAGGCUGCAAACAUAGUCAUCAUUCCCAACCUCUCCUUUUGCAACAGGAGAUUUCGCCUCUCCAAUAAUGAGAUAAGUCCAUUUCUCCAAACCUUGAAUCUGGGCUGGGUCUGUGACUUUCCUUGGCAGAUGGAAGGCAGUAAAACAACUGUGUCUGAGCUAAGACCCUGGCCUCAGGAGACCUUGUGUGCUUCCCCUCUUUCUCUUGGAGCACUGCCAGGUGUCGUGGGAACAAGCCUGAACAGCCAGAUGGAAGAUAAAAUACUACGUGGACCAGAGCAGAGUCACUCCCAUUUCCCAAGCAUGGGCCCAGACAUGUGAAAGAGGUUAACCAAGACCAGUCAAGCCUGGCCCAGAUUGGUAGAAUCAUCUAUAUGUCUGUAGACUCAUGAGCCACACAAUGAAGGGUUAUAUUUUAAAGUGCUAAAUUUUGGGCUUGUUUGAGACUAAAUCAAGUUAAGUUAGAAAGACAAAUAUCAUUUGAGAUCAUUAAUAUGUGGAACCUAAUAAAAAUGGCAUAAAAGAACUUAUGCA
RNAcentral lists this long non-coding RNA (1377 nucleotides) under Sus scrofa (pig). RNAcentral describes it as "lncRNA (ENSSSCG00065065639.1)". Lineage: Eukaryota; Metazoa; Chordata; Mammalia; Artiodactyla; Suidae. The record is from RNAcentral.